RNAcentral lists this ribosomal RNA (415 nucleotides) under uncultured bacterium. RNAcentral's name for it is "bacterial SSU rRNA". It matches the Rfam family "Bacterial small subunit ribosomal RNA", at positions 355 to 787 of the family's 1533-position model. The record is from RNAcentral.
UGGGGAAUAUUGCACAAUGGGGGAAACCCUGAUGCAGCGACGCCGCGUGAGUGAAGAAGUAUCUCGGUAUGUAAAGCUCUAUCAGCAGGGAAGAAAAUGACGGUACCUGACUAAGAAGCCCCGGCUAACUACGUGCCAGCAGCCGCGGUAAUACGUAGGGGGCAAGCGUUAUCCGGAAUUACUGGGUGUAAAGGGUGCGUAGGUGGUAUGGCAAGUCAGAAGUGAAAACCCAGGGCUUAACUCUGGGACUGCUUUUGAAACUGUCAGACUGGAGUGCAGGAGAGGUAAGCGGAAUUCCUAGUGUAGCGGUGAAAUGCGUAGAUAUUAGGAGGAACAUCAGUGGCGAAGGCGGCUUACUGGACUGAAACUGACACUGAGGCACGAAAGCGUGGGGAGCAAACAGGAUUAGAUACCC